Molecule: ribosomal RNA, 301 nt
Filed under: uncultured bacterium
Lineage: Bacteria
Description: partial 16S ribosomal RNA
Rfam family: Bacterial small subunit ribosomal RNA
Source: RNAcentral
CAGUCGCCGCGGUAAAACGAAGGGGGCUAGCGUUGUUCGGAUUUACUGGGCGUAAAGGGCGCGUAGGCGGACUGAUAAGUCAGGGGUGAAAUCCCAAGGCUCAACCUUGGAACUGCCUUUGAUACUGUUUGUCUUGAGUUCGAGAGAGGUAAGUGGAACUGCGAGUGUAGAGGUGAAAUUCGUAGAUAUUCGCAAGAACACCAGUGGCGAAGGCGGCUCGCUGGUCCAUUACUGACGCUGAGGUGCGAAAGCGUGGGGAGCAAACAGGAUUAGAUACCCCGGUAGUCCCUGUCUCUUAUAC